RNAcentral lists this transfer RNA (73 nucleotides) under Chloroflexota bacterium. RNAcentral's name for it is "Chloroflexi bacterium tRNA-Thr". It matches the Rfam family "tRNA". Rfam says of the family: Transfer RNA (tRNA) molecules are approximately 80 nucleotides in length. Their secondary structure includes four short double-helical elements and three loops (D, anti-codon, and T loops). The record is from RNAcentral. Lineage: Bacteria; Bacillati; Chloroflexota. RNAcentral also lists the same sequence under 1 other name.
GCCACCUUAGCUCAAUUGGCAGAGUGACCGCUUCGUAAGUGGUAGGUUAUGGGUUCGAUUCCCAUAGGUGGCU